GAAAGGGAAAUUUCGUCACUCCUAUGUUCCAUGCCUAGAAAUGGCUGUUUGACUCGAGGUAAACGCUUUUUUCUUAUUUGCAUAGACCCACAAAACACAUUGAUAUUUUUAAAGGUCUCCGAUGGGCAAUAUUUUCCAGCUGCCUGACUUCAUAAAGUUUCCCAGAAACUGAGUAAUUCACUUCUUCACGUCCUGCGUUUUCAAAAAUCCUCCCUACAGAAAUAGGAGUUGUCAUGGUUAGGGUUAAUAUAAGAGCUGGAACGAGAUGUUAAGUGCUCGUAUCCAUGGACAUCAGUGACUUGAAUGUUUUGACCUCGUUCUGUAUCUGACUGUACCUAUCGCGGCUUGAAUCUUGAGUACAUAAGGGCGGGGACUUUACUUGAGCCGAGUUCAACAUAGCAAUUAGUCUACCACCUUCCCCAACCCUUACCCGACAGACCUUUGAAAAAAAUAUGUUUGGCACACUUGUAGAUCUUCAACCCUUGACUGAUGUAUGGGAACCAUUUCGAAGGAGACCACUCUGGGAAAAAGAAGAUAACACAGGCUUAGCCGCUUAUCACUCGUGAAAUUUCGUUUCUGUCAUCUCCCCACGGAUUAAGACUGCGAGAGGUAGAGGAUAACACCGCAAGAUUGUUGAACACCUUCCCGGGAAGAGAUGUGCUUACCUGUAAAAAUCUCACCUCAUGCCUGGCGAAUAGAAAAGUUAGAUUCUCUCCCCCUUCCCCCUUCUCCCCUUGCGAAACCGCAGUAGGCAAGAGGUCACGAGGUCAAGCUUCGCGGGACUGCAGACGUAGCAGCUCAGCCGCUGGCUCAGGGCAAACCAUCGUCAUGUGCAAACAGCCAAACACUUUAGUCGUUUCUUUCACGCUGUUAUUUUGCCAGAUGAAGAUCAGGUCAUUGACCUGACGAGAUAUCAGGACGCUCUUUGGUCAAUCUGAUAGUUUAAAUUCGUAAAACUAGUGUGUAUGUACGCGUGAUAAAAAAAAGGAGUGUUUGUAAGUGCAUUUCCCAGGAAAGGAUGUUGCUUAGGAAACUCUACAACUUUCUAAGAAUUUUUUCUAGUUUAAAUAAAGAUGCCAAGUUCAGUCAAUUGCAAGGCUGUGAUGUCAAUAAACUCUGUAUUUUUCAAAUGGACUAGCGGUCACUUCCAAGUCCUAACCACACUACCAACAACCAGCUAGGUGGUAACGACAAAACUAGAAGCACAAGAUCAGUCUACACACUUGGCUAAUAUUUCCCUCCUUGUCGUUGCGCAAUGUUUCCACAGGGUUGUGCCUUGGCAAUGGCUGGCUGGCUGUAAGAUAAGAGUCUCCACCUGAUGGUGACUUGCCAAUGGGAGAUUAGAAAAAGCUGAAACAAAGAGCCACGACGUCCAGUCCGGUACAUUUAAGGAGAAAACAUGAUGUGAAUUUGAGAGAUGAACAAAAACCGCCACUGUAAUAUAGUGAUUGUGUCCCUUUACCACCGUUGUUUGAACGCACUGCCCUCCCCCGAGAUUUCGUAGGAUGACAGAAGAUGGAAUUUUAAAGCAAGACGUUCUGUUAGAAAAGCCAAGUACAGCAGAUAGGACUAUGGCAUCAACAACAUUCCAGAGACUGCCCAAAAACAUGAUUCCAGUGAACUAUGUGAUAAAGCUGAAGCCAGAUCUUCAGGCACUUACAUUUGACGGCGAAGAAGAAGUAGAACUUGAGGUAAAAGAAGCAACAAGUUACAUCAUCAUUAAUGCAAAGGAUAUAAGAAUACAGGAAGCCUUCAUCAUAGAGGAUGGAAAUAAAUCUCCACUGAAGAUUAGUUACAGAGAGAAAGAGGAGCAAGUAUCAUUCAUUUUGGAUAGACCUUUGAAGGCAGGUAUUUGCAAGCUAAGUCUGAAAUAUACUGGAAAUCUGAAUGAUGAGCUAAGAGGAUUUUACAGAAGCAGUUACAAAACAACAUCAGGGGAGCAGCGUUAUGCAGCAGUUACUCACUUUGAAGCGACAGGAGCUCGACGAGCUUUUCCCUGCUGGGAUGAACCUGCAAUCCGGGCUACCUUUGAUAUCAUUUUGAUUGUUCCCAAAGAAAGGGUGGCACUAUCUAACAUGCCAGUAAAGCAGGAGAAACCCUGGGAGGGAGAUUCAUCUCUCAAGGAAGUGAUUUUUGAAAGGACACCAGUCAUGUCAACUUACCUUGUUGCAUUUGUUGUUGGUGAAUAUGACUUUGUUGAAGCCGUUGAUGCCAAUGGCGUGAAAGUGCGAGUCUACACACCACCUCAGAAACAAGAGCAAGGCUUGUUUGCUCUGGAGGUAGCAGUAAAGACCCUUCCGUUCUAUGGCAACUAUUUCCAGUUGGCCUAUGAUUUGCCCAAACUAGACCUAAUUGCUGUUGCAGAUUUUCCCAUUGGUGCCAUGGAGAACUGGGGAUUAAUCAUUUACAGAGAGACAGCAUUAUUAGUUGAUCCUGUGGAGUCUUCAGCAGGCAUGAAACAAUGGGUGUCACUUGUCGUGGGACAUGAACUUGCUCAUAACUGGUUUGGAAACCUUGUCACUAUGGAGUGGUGGACACACCUCUGGCUAAAGGAAGGAUUUGCUUCCUGGAUCGAAUAUCUCUGCGUGGACCACUGUUUCCCAGAGUUUGAUGUGUGGACACAGUUUGUCACAGCAGAUCUUGGGAAAGCUCUGACUCUAGAUGCCAUGAGGAACAGUCAUCCUAUCGAGAUUGAAGUGAGACAUCCUUCAGAAGUAGAUGAGAUUUUUGAUGCCAUUUCAUAUUCAAAAGGGGCCUCAGUGAUUAGGAUGCUUCACAGUUAUUUAGGGGACCAGGAUUUUUGUAAAGGAAUGAACCUCUACCUAAUUAGACAUCAGUAUAAGAGUGCUUGCACGGCAGAUCUUUGGGCAGCUCUUGAAGAAGUUAGUGGAAAGCCUGUCGCCAGUAUAAUGAGUACCUGGACAUCACAGGCGGGCUUCCCUGUGCUGAAAGUCACCCAGAAAUGGGAAGAAGACAAAUGUGUUUUGGAAAUCACACAAAGAAAAUUUUCUGCUGAACCACUUCCUGAUGGGUCAUCUAAAGAUGACAAAAAUUUGUGGAUGGUACCUAUCACUGUCAUCACAAAGUCCAGUCCAAAAGAGCCAGUGAGUACAGCCCUAAUGGAAGCUGAUACAAUCACUAUCCCCCUUCAGGCAAAGGAUGGAGAGUGGAUCAAGAUAAAUGCAGGCACUGUGAGUGUUUACAGAGUCCAGUACAGCUCUGAGAUGCUGAACGCUUUGGUAAAUGGAAUACAGACUGGUACCCUGUUACCAACAGACAGAUUUGGAAUUCAGAGUGAUCUUUAUGCACUGUGCAGAUCUGGAUUGGUGAAUAGUGUGGAGUUUCUUCAAGUUGUUGAAACCUUUACAGCUGAAGACAACUACACAGUAUGGAAAGAUCUUCUUUCCAACCUGCAUGAAUUGGGAAAACUCUUGCAGUAUACUAAAGCAUACAGUCAUUUUAACAACUUUGUGAUACGUCUGCUACAACCCACUUUUAUGCGUCUUGGAUGGGACUCUAAAGCAGGAGAAGGGCAUUUAACAGCCAUCUUGCGGGAACUAGUCCUUAGCAAAAUGGGAGCAGCUGGGGCAAACUCCAUCAUAGCUGAAGCCAGAAAACGGUUUCAAGCCCAUUGCAGUGAAACUGAGAUAAUUCCAGGUAUACAUAACUGUGCUGAGCCAUGGAAACAAAGAAACUCUUGAAAGUAUGUUGAAGCUCUACAGAACUGCAGAUUCUUCAGAAGAGAAAACUCGUAUCAUCCAUUCCCUGGGAUGCCUCAAAGAUGAGACACUUAUUGCUCAAGUGCUGAGAUUUUCUAUCUCUGAUGAGGUGAAGUCUCAGGACUGCCCAUUUGUGA
Molecule: unclassified non-coding RNA, 3856 nt
Filed under: Pomacea canaliculata
Lineage: Eukaryota; Metazoa; Mollusca; Gastropoda; Architaenioglossa; Ampullariidae
Description: puromycin-sensitive aminopeptidase-like, transcript variant X5
Source: RNAcentral